This 507-nucleotide ribosomal RNA is filed under the name uncultured bacterium. RNAcentral's name for it is "bacterial SSU rRNA". It matches the Rfam family "Bacterial small subunit ribosomal RNA", at positions 19 to 518 of the family's 1533-position model. The record is from RNAcentral.
CUGGCUCAGGAUGAACGCUAGCGGCAGGCUUAACACAUGCAAGGUCGAGGGGCAACGCGAGUAGCAAUACUUGGCGGCGACCGGCGCAAGGGUGCGUAACGCGUGAGCAACAUGCCCGUAUCAGGGGGAUAAUCCAGGGAAACUUGGUCUAAUACCCCAUAGUAAUUUUGUAAGGCAUCUUAUAAGAUUUAAAGCUUUGGUGGAUACGGAUUGGCUCGCGUGACAUUAGCUGGAUGGUAAGGUAACGGCUUACCAUGGCUAUGAUGUCUAGGGGUUCUGAGAGGAAGGUCCCCCACACUGGAACUGAGACACGGUCCAGACUCCUACGGGAGGCAGCAGUGAGGAAUAUUGGACAAUGGAUGGAAAUCUGAUCCAGCCAUGCCGCGUGAAAAGGAAGAAGGUCCUAUGGAUUGUAAACUUCUUUUGUAUGGGAGCAAUAAGGCCUACGAGUAGGUUGAUGAGAGUACCAUACGAAUAAGCACCGGCUAACUCCGUGCCAGCCGCCGC